This 268-nucleotide long non-coding RNA is filed under the name Vigna radiata. Its description in RNAcentral is "long non-coding RNA (VRAD_LNC007093)". Lineage: Eukaryota; Viridiplantae; Streptophyta; Magnoliopsida; Fabales; Fabaceae. The record is from RNAcentral.
UUUACUAGUUUUGGGUACAUUUCUAAGUAUCUUAAGGAUACUAACAAAUUUCUAAAUAACAGACCCAGAUCUCCUAUGCAUAUCAAUCUUAAACCGAACACAAAUCCCCAGUUCCACGAUCAUAUAUCCUUCCAAUUUCACUCGGCCACUAAACCAUAAAUCAUGCAAAAACCAAAUCAUCGUAAACACAACAUCAAUAUAAUCCACACCAACAACAUCGUACACCAAUUCAUCAAUUUCACAUACAUGCAACAUCAUCAAAACAAAU